RNAcentral lists this long non-coding RNA (471 nucleotides) under Homo sapiens (human). RNAcentral describes it as "non-protein coding LINC01725:43". The record is from RNAcentral. Lineage: Eukaryota; Metazoa; Chordata; Mammalia; Primates; Hominidae.
UCGGUGUGAUAUGGGCGUGAAAGAAGACAUAAAACAGGCUUCCCGAGUAGAACCUGCCACCCCGGGCUGGUGGGGACGCGGCACCAGGCCGGGCCGGGGGAAGCCGCUCGGACAGUGGUCCUUGGAAUCUUCUUCCCUUCUGGUCUGACUAGGAAAGCCAGAGGGAGAUGGUGAAGGAGACACAGAGAGAGUAAAAGAACAGACCAUGCCCAGCCUCUCCACUGCAGGAGCUUGGAAUCAGUUCCUUUCUCAGGAACCUGACCAUCAGGCCUCCCAGAAAGUAUCGAGAAACUGAAACAUCUCAGAUCAUGGCAUCUGGACAAUGAGACACACCUGCUGCCUGUUGACCAACUCCCCUUGCUUACCCCUUCGUAACUCCCCACUAUGUAAACCCUUUAUUUUAGUUAGCUUAGACUUGUCUCCCAUCUCUCAGCUGACAUCAUCUGUAAUAAAGCCUUUGAUCCCUGGCAA